Molecule: ribosomal RNA, 169 nt
Filed under: Megalamphodus erythrostigmus (bleeding-heart tetra)
Lineage: Eukaryota; Metazoa; Chordata; Actinopteri; Characiformes; Acestrorhamphidae
Description: partial 12S rRNA
Source: RNAcentral
CACCGCGGUUAUACGAGAAACCCUAGUUGACAGAUACGGCGUAAAGAGUGGUUAAGGGAUAUAAAAAAUAAAGUCAAACAUUUUCCUAGUUGUUAUAAGCAUUUCGAGAACAUGAAGCCCAACCACGAAAGUGACUUUACCUUCGCCUGACCCCACGAAAGCUAAGAAA